This 247-nucleotide long non-coding RNA is filed under the name Mytilus galloprovincialis (Mediterranean mussel). The record is from RNAcentral. Lineage: Eukaryota; Metazoa; Mollusca; Bivalvia; Mytilida; Mytilidae.
AUAAUACAGGAAAAAACACCAUUUUGUGAUUAGAAACUAAACAAAAUGAUAGAAUUGUUAAAUACUUCAGGAAAAGAUAGCUUUCAGACACUGCUUUGAGAAUAUGAAAAGAAAAGAUAGGGUCACCGUACGUUUUUUCCGGCUACAAUACAAAAUAGGAAAAUUCCUUACAGAAUCCUUCAGAAAAUGCACUUUUUUAGAGUUACCUCCCCUUAAAAUACCAAUUUAAAAAAAAAAAAAAAACAAC